This 60-nucleotide non-coding RNA is filed under the name Acetivibrio cellulolyticus. RNAcentral describes it as "Na+-I sequence". It matches the Rfam family "Na+ riboswitch aptamer (DUF1646)". Rfam says of the family: Proteobacteria, NC10, Acidobacteria, Verrucomicrobia. Lineage (Clostridia) The riboswitch of Na+ was first reported in a comparative analysis of intergenic regions and called DUF1646 RNA, it was also suggested that it acts as cis-reg RNA present upstream of Na+ genes. Afterward it was reported as a riboswitch that selectively senses Na+. The record is from RNAcentral. RNAcentral also lists the same sequence under 1 other name. Lineage: Bacteria; Bacillati; Bacillota; Clostridia; Acetivibrionales; Acetivibrionaceae.
GGUUGAGUGUAUUCGUUAUAAAUACACUUUCAAGAGUUUAGGCUUCUGGGGUGGGAAGUC